This 250-nucleotide ribosomal RNA is filed under the name uncultured bacterium. RNAcentral describes it as "partial 16S ribosomal RNA". It matches the Rfam family "Bacterial small subunit ribosomal RNA", at positions 524 to 773 of the family's 1533-position model. The record is from RNAcentral.
UACGGAGGUGGCAAGCGUUGUUCGGAAUUACUGGGCGUAAAGGGCGCGUAGGCGGCAUGGCAAGUCAGAUGUGAAAGCCCCGGGCUCAACUCGGGAAUUGCAUCUGAAACUGCUGUGCUUGAGUUCUGGAGGGGAUAGCGGAAUUCCCAGUGUAGCGGUGAAAUGCGUAGAUAUUGGGAGGAACACCUGCGGCGAAGGCGGCUAUCUGGACAGAUACUGACGCUGAGGCGCGAAAGCUAGGGGAGCGAAC